GUCGGAAUAUUUGUCAAUGGGCGAAAGCUUGAACAAGCAAUGCCGCGUGAGCGAUGAAGGCCUUCGGGUUGUAAAGCUCUGUGUUUUGGGAAGAAAAACUGGCACGUUAAUAACUUGCCAGAUUGACGGUACCAUAAUAGAAAGCCCCGGCUAACUACGUGCCAGCAGCCGCGGUGAUACGUAGGGGGCAAGCGUUGUUCGGAAUUACUGGGUGUAAAGGGCGUACAGGCGGCUGAGUAAGUCGGAUGUGAAAUCCUUGGGCUUAACCUGAGAACUGCAUUUGAUACUGCUCGGCUUGAGGUCAGGAGAGGAAAGCGGAAUAUGUGGUGUAGCGGUGAAAUGCGCAGAUAUCACAUAGAACACCGGUGGCGAAGGCGGCUUUCUGGUCUGACUCUGACGCUGACGCGCGAAAGCUAGGGGAGCGAACGGG
This 430-nucleotide ribosomal RNA is filed under the name uncultured bacterium. RNAcentral describes it as "bacterial SSU rRNA". It matches the Rfam family "Bacterial small subunit ribosomal RNA", at positions 355 to 776 of the family's 1533-position model. The record is from RNAcentral.